Molecule: RNase P RNA, 369 nt
Filed under: Deltaproteobacteria bacterium
Lineage: Bacteria; Pseudomonadati; Myxococcota; Myxococcia
Description: RNase P RNA component class A
Rfam family: Bacterial RNase P class A
About the family: Ribonuclease P (RNase P) is a ubiquitous endoribonuclease, found in archaea, bacteria and eukarya as well as chloroplasts and mitochondria. Its best characterised activity is the generation of mature 5'-ends of tRNAs by cleaving the 5'-leader elements of precursor-tRNAs. Cellular RNase Ps are ribonucleoproteins.
Source: RNAcentral
AAAGUGGAUCAAGCGAUCGCGCGUCGCGCUUACGUGCGAAGCGAGGAAAGUCCGGACUCCAAAGGACGAGGUGGCCGUUAACGACGGCUCCGAGUGAUCGGGGGAAAGUACCACAGAAAUGACACCGCCUGCCGCUCCUGCGGUCGGUAAGGUUGAAAUGGCGAGGUAAGAGCUCACCGGUUCGCCAGUGAUGGCGAACGCAUGGCAAACCCCACCUGGAGCAAGGCCAAAUAGGAGGGCUGGGUGGUCCGCCCAUGGCCCUCGGGUAAGGUCGCUAGAUCUCUUGAGUAAUCAAGGGACAAGAUGAAUGAUCGCUGUGGCCCAUCGUAUGGGUUACGACAGAAUCCGGCUUACCGAUCCACUUUAGCC